GGAGCAAUUGUCAAACAAGUGAUGGUCUCAUGAGCAUCUGUACAAACAAUUGUAUGCAUAUAAAAACUUUAGGACCACAUGGGCAGUGCAUCGUUCAGGAAAGAGGCACAAAUGAACUCCCAGGCAUGAAAGUAAAGGUUCAACUCAACCCCAAGACAAUAACGAAGGAACUGGUUGGAGUUGGAGGCCUCAGGAGUGUUCUCUGGUCAGACGAAACAAAAAGAUGUAACUGUUUGGCCGUAAUGAUCAGCGCUACGUAUGGAGGAAACGGGGGUCUUUCUGCUCAACCACUAAUACGAUUCACUGGAAAUCAAGGG
Molecule: long non-coding RNA, 317 nt
Organism: Ictalurus punctatus (channel catfish)
Lineage: Eukaryota; Metazoa; Chordata; Actinopteri; Siluriformes; Ictaluridae
Source: Ensembl